AGAGUAUAGCUCAGUGGUAGAGUGCAUGCUUAGCAUGCAUGAGGUCCUGGGUUCAGUCCCCAGUACCUCUG
Molecule: transfer RNA, 71 nt
Filed under: Camelus bactrianus (Bactrian camel)
Lineage: Eukaryota; Metazoa; Chordata; Mammalia; Artiodactyla; Camelidae
Also listed under: 2 other names
Rfam family: tRNA
About the family: Transfer RNA (tRNA) molecules are approximately 80 nucleotides in length. Their secondary structure includes four short double-helical elements and three loops (D, anti-codon, and T loops).
Source: Rfam by way of RNAcentral